Molecule: ribosomal RNA, 1005 nt
Filed under: Anomala orientalis
Lineage: Eukaryota; Metazoa; Arthropoda; Insecta; Coleoptera; Scarabaeidae
Description: SSU rRNA
Rfam family: Eukaryotic small subunit ribosomal RNA
Source: RNAcentral
UCUCAGUACGAGCCGUAUUAAGGUGAAACCGCGAAAGGCUCAUUAAAUCAGUUAUGGUUCCUUAGAUCGUACCCACAUUUACUUGGAUAACUGUGGUAAUUCUAGAGCUAAUACAUGCAAACAGAGCUCCGACCGGAGACGGAAGGAGCGCUUUUAUUAGAUCAAAACCAAUCGGUGGCGGGCUUGCCCGUCAUCGUACACCUCGGUGACUCUGAAUAACUUUUUGCUGAUCGCACGGUCUCGCACCGGCGACGCAUCUUUCAAAUGUCUGCCUUAUCAACUGUCGAUGGUAGGUUCUGCGCCUACCAUGGUUGUAACGGGUAACGGGGAAUCAGGGUUCGAUUCCGGAGAGGGAGCCUGAGAAACGGCUACCACAUCCAAGGAAGGCAGCAGGCGCGCAAAUUACCCACUCCCGGCACGGGGAGGUAGUGACGAAAAAUAACGAUACGGGACUCAUCCGAGGCCCCGUAAUCGGAAUGAGUACACUCUAAACCCUUUAACGAGGAUCAAUUGGAGGGCAAGUCUGGUGCCAGCAGCCGCGGUAAUUCCAGCUCCAAUAGCGUAUAUUAAAGUUGUUGCGGUUAAAAAGCUCGUAGUCGAAUUUGUGUCCCGCGCCGCCGGUUCAUCGCUCGCGGUGUUUAACUGGCGUGUCCGCGGGACGUCCUGCCGGUGGACUUAGUCCCUUCGGGGGCGGUCCAACUUGAAAUCCCACCGCGGUGCUCUUUGCCGAGUGUCGAGGUGGGCCGGCACGUUUACUUUGAACAAAUUAGAGUGCUUAAAGCAGGCUAAAACUUUGCCUGAAUACUGUGUGCAUGGAAUAAUGGAAUAGGACCUCGGUUCUAUUUUGUUGGUUUUCGGAACUCCGAGGUAAUGAUUAAUAGGAACGGAUGGGGGCAUUCGUAUUGCGACGUUAGAGGUGAAAUUCUUGGGAUCGUCGCAAGACGGACAGAAGCGAAAGCAUUUGCCAAAAACGCUUUCAUUGAUCAAGAACGAAAGUUAGAGGUU